ACUUUCUUGGUAUGGAGUUUGCUAGAUCCAAGAAAGGUAUUUUCAUUUCUCAAAGAAAAUAUAUACUUGACUUAUUAUGUGAAACAGGUUUACUUGGAUGUAAGGCUACAGAAACUCCUAUAGAACCAAAUUUGAAACUUCAACCAGCAAGUCCAGUAGAGGUGAUUGACAAAGAAAAAAACCAACACCUAGUUGGGAGACUUAUUUAUCUCUCGCAUACUCGUCCCGAUAUUGCUUUUACGGUAAGCAUGGUGAGUCAAUUCAUGCAGUGUACCGAAUUUUAAGGUACUUAAAGGGGACUCCAAGAAAAGGACUUCCCUAUGAGAACCGAGGACAUCUCUAAGUGGAUGUGUUUACUGAUGCAAAUUGGGCAGGAAGUAUAAUUAAUAGGAGAUCAACUUCGGGGUAUUAUACUUUUGUUGGAGGCAAUCUUGUGACUUGGCGGAGUAAACAGCAAAGUGUUGUGUCUAGAAGUAGUGUUGAAGCUGAGUUUAGAAACACAGCCCACGACAUUUGUGAAGUUUUGUGGAUUAAACAAUUACUUGAAGAACUUAAGGUUGCUAGCCCUUUACCUAUGAAGGUCUUUUGUGAUAAUAAAGUUGUCAUUACCAUUGCACAUAAUCCAGUACUCCAUGAUAGAACUAAACAUAUCGAGGUUGAUGAUUUAGUAAGCAAGUUAGCCAUGAAUGACAUCUUCAAGCCAGCUUGAGGGGUAGCAUUGAGAAUCUCAAUCGUAUAAAAAAUUUUCUGAUCUAGUUGUUACCUAUUUUUUAUGGAUAAUUUGUUGUUGUUUUUUAAGGAUAAGUUGUUGCUGUUUUUUAGGGAUAAGUUGUAUAUUUUAAAUUUAUUUUGUUCCUAGAAAUUUGGGUGUACAGCUGUAGAUUUAGUUUGAUUUGUUAUAGUUUUUCUAUAAAAGGAAGCUAGUUUCCCUUCCUUAUUCAAUUAAUAUACGACAUUUUUCUUUUUUCCUUUUCUACAAAAAUGUUGGACAGCAAGAAAGGAUCAUGCACAGGAUUUGUAUAAGCAAUGACCUAUGGAAGAAAAUUACCGAUCCUUUAGCAUCAACAUAAGGAAAGAAAGAAAAUCUAUGUGGUCUUAAAUUUCCUUGAGAAGUUCAAGAUCUCUGAUAAAAUAUCUUUCUGCAAGUUUCAAGAUCUCUUCUUGGUUGAGAUAUCAUUUAUAAUUUUCUUGAAGUGGAGCAGUCAGAACCUCCCCAGAAUUCCAUGUGGCUGGAGUUCAGGUACAUUACAAUUUGGUGAACAUUACAACUAUACUUUCUGCGGUUCAGUUACAUUACAAUUUGGUGAACAUUGCAUUGAUACUUGGAAGGUUAAGAUGCAUAUGUUUUUCAAACCUGACUUCAGUUAAACAUUUAUGAACAGGAUAAAACAUUCCCUAAACAUAUAGAUAUCAAAAUUUCAAGAAACGAACUCUUAAAAUAGUUAUUGCAAAAUGUAAUAAGAAAAUACACACAUUAAAAAUGGAGGAUAAAAGGGCAAGGGAGCAUACUGAAUGAGUGAUGUUCUCAAGAGAAUCUACAAUGCAAUGAGCAUAAUCGUAACUUGGAUAAACACACCACUUGUCUCCAGCAUGUGGGUGAGGAGUAAACUGGACAAAAGAAGUGAAAUCAAUUAGUAACUACUCAUGUUUUUUUUUUUUUGAUAGGUAAUUUAGUAACUACUCAUGUUGAAAUAGUUAAGAUGUCUAUGAGUACAGACUUGCCUUGAUGCGAUAUGCAAUAAGGUCAUACAUAUUAAAAUUAUCACUCUGCAUGUCUUGCUUCAUCCGAAGCGUAGCUUUGCCUUCUUCAAUCAUGCCUCGUCUCAUUUCAUCAAACAGUUUCAAUGAUUCUUCGAUUGGUCUAUCCCUCCAAGGACUAUUCAUCUUCUUUUCCCUAUAUUCUUUUAUCUCUUCAGGUGUCUGCAAUCAAUGACUUUUUAGAUAACUUUUCUCAACUAUAGAAAAACCUCAUGAAUGCAAAACAAAAGAACUAACAUCAGAAAAGAAAUCACCAUUUCUUGAGCACCAUUAUGACUGAAAUCAAUGUUCCGAAAUUACACAACCCCAGAACCUGGAUAUCAGUUAGUGAUUGGGAUCAAGAUAUGGUGCUCAAUCAUGAAUUAUUUAGCAGUCUCCAAUAAUUAAUUAUAAGGAAGUCAAAACAGAUAACUGUAAGAUUAUUUAGCAGUAUCCAAGAAUUAAUUAUAAGGAAUGAAAUAAAAAAAUAUCAGAUUUAUGUAUGAAAUCAAUCAUAUAAUUUAUAUUUAGUAAGCAACCUGGUGAUCAACAUAAGCUUGGCCCCUUCUUAUCAGCUCCACUGCAAGAUCAUAAAGAUCUUGGAAAUAGUCACUGGUAUAGGUGAUCUGCAAAAUGCCAAUAGAUAUCAAAUGUUGCCCAAAGAAAGGCACAACCUAUGACAUUAAAUCUAGAUCAUAAAUUAUACCUUGAAAGGUUCCCAACCCAUCCAUUGGACGAUUUCUUCAAUAUGAUCAAUAUACUCUUUCUUUUCAGCUUCUGGGUUUGUGUCGUCAAACCUAACAUAGCCACAGAGCACAACUAAACUCAGAAACUAUAGAAACUUAAAGCUUCUUUAUCCUUUUUCGGUGGAAGAAAAGCAGUCCAAGAUUCAAAUGAAGUUCAAUAAACUAUUGCAAAUUUAAGUAUAUAAAAGCAAUCUGUUACCCUUGACUUUGAUGACACAACGCUAAGGGCCUCAUGGGUAGGCACCUUGCACCCAUGAGGGCCCUGGGAGAGAAGCUAGGUGGGAUCAGAGGUUGGAUGCAUCAUAUGAGUGGAAUGGUGAUGACUGGUGGUGCAGCAUGUGCUGGCACAGGAUAGUGUCAGGCAGCACGUGCUUGAGCAAGCUGCAGAGGACCACUUAUACGAGGCCUCAGCAUGGGCAAGGCACACGGGCAAGCCUUGCUAGCACCCACACAUGGAAUUCAUGACAAGUGGUGGAAUGUAAGCCAUGGCCACAAUGGCACGGGGCACAGAGCAGUCACCCCUCUUGACAGUGGCACAAGGGCAAAAUGCCUUAUGCAAUGAGGUGGCUUGACACACAAGGGUGCAACGCCUUGUGUGGUCAAAUGAUAUUGCACCAAGAUGGGGCUUGGAUGCAGCACAGUGCUCCUGAAGCAACAAAGCUGACUUAGACAUGGUGACUGAUGCAUGACACAAGGGUGCAAUGCCUUGUGUGGGAAUGACAAGCCAUGGGUGCAAUGCCAUGGUCUGUUGUUGUACCAAGGAGGGGCUUGGACGUGACACGGUGCUACUGUAUUAACAAAGACAUUUCAAACAUGAUGGCUGAUGCAUGACAAGAGGGCAAGACAUGACAUUGGUGUGGCAUAACUAACUCUUAAGACUUGCAAGGUGGGGCAAAGCCUUGCAAGGGCUAACCCAUGGGUGCCUAAGACAUUGGCAGCACACUUCAACGUGCCAGCGACAAGGAGACAACUUGAUGAUGCAGAGACAACAACAAGGGUUGACACAGACAUGAUGGUGCAUGGCUGCUAUAAGGCAAGAGGGUCGGGCAUGACAUAGGCAUGAUAUGCUACCUCUUAUGGCUUGCAAGGCAUGGGAAGGGCUGGUCCAUGGGCUCCUAGACAUGGACAGCAACACCAAUGUGCCAUGGGCACCUAGUUAUGGCACAAGGUGUGCAGCAGUGUGUGGGACGAGGCACACUGAUGCAUUAGAGGCAGGCUGAACAAGAAAAUUUGACUAAGGCAAAGCAUUGAUGUGGACUGAUUGGCAUGCGUUGGGCUAAGACAAGGUGUUUGAUGUGGGCUUGACUCACAUGCACACAGGGGCUAUGGCAUGGACGUGGGACAACUUCCAACAAUUUGGGCUGGACAGGGGGCUCAAGUUCUGACACCAUCAAAGGGUUGUUCGGUGAGUUGCAGUGGCAAUUCUGUGGCACUUGUUGGGAAGAGGCACCACUUGUGGCUGCAUCAAAUGGCUUCAAAAGGCAUCAGAAGGCUUGGGGCUGGCAGUGUGGGGCUUGAAGUAGCACAUUUUAGGAAGAGGUGUGAUCAACUGGUAGUUUAAUAACUACCAAAACUGCCAGAUUUAAAUUCAAAUUCAAAUUCAAACAGAGGUAGGAGCCUCUGGUAUAGAUAGAAAGGGUUCCCCUAUUGCCGAAGGAUCAGAAAAAGGGGAAACACAGGGAAGUGUAUGAGAGACUGUGAAUCUUGGUUCCUGGACCCAGGCCAGAAAUAUUCCAAGUGUUAGUGCACUUAGCUAAUUUUGCAACCUUGUAUUACUUGAGAAAUAAAACAAGUUAGGAAGAUUUUCCGUAUCUGGUUGCCUUUGUGUUGCUUCCAUUUGGUUGUUUUUGAUGCCACGCAUUCACAAAAAAAUAAAAAAUAUAAAAAAUUGAUGGUAGAUUCGUGCUUGCGACACAAUCCAUCCUUGCUUCUAGCAAAAGGUAAAUACCAUAUGUAAAUUCUCAUGUUUAGUUAACAUUUAAGGCCAUUUUUUGGUCCAACCAAGGUCUAAUCUGCUACAUAUACACUUGAAAGUGUCCAAGGGAAACAUAUUGGUAUAAUCAAGGUCAAACAUGGACCUUAUAUGCAAGUCUGACGAUCCUACAAAUAAAAUAGAAGAAAAACUACUUCUUUCCUAAUUUCUCUGGUAUACUUUCUUAAUAUGGUUUUCCCUUAUUUGAUAUUUCAGAAAAAAGGAAAAUGCCCAAGUAGCAGAAACUCUGUUAUCCUACCUAGCUAUGUUAGAUGGGUUCGGAUACAAGGGUCGGAUGCUGGUACAUGUCUAAGUGUCAAAUUCUAUGCAUCCCAAAAUCUUAGGACAUUGGGAUUCGACUAAGAAGGAUCUCAACUAUGGGUGCGGGUACUUGGUUACGACAUUAAAUGAAAAUGAAUUAACGCUAAAUACAAGCAUAGUAAGAUAGCUAUAGGUCAUUUAUAAUAAUACAUGAUUAAUUGUAAUCGGAGAAUAUAUUUAUUAUCUCUUUUCUAUUUUAAUAAGAAGUCAGUUUUUUUAAAUUUGAUGUUGUGGUCAAUUGUACACAAAGAACUUGUUUAUCAUGCCUUUUAUUUUAAUAGGAUGCUAAGAAACAUAUUUAAGAUAAUAUCAUACCAUUAAAUUUAGAUUAGUUUAAAAUCUUAAAAAUUUAUGUUGAUUUUGUAAUAAAAAAUUUCUAAUAGAUUAGAUAUUGAUAAAAUAUAAUUCAUUUUAAAUUUCUUAUCAUAUGAAAAAAAAUUAAUUUUUUAUAUUAAUUAUUUUAAUUUAUCUUUAGAUUUUUAAGAUAUUAAGUUUGAUAUUUUUUAUGCUAUUAAUAAUUAUAUUUAUCUCUAACUUUUACAUAAUAUUAAUUAUGAUUUAUCUUUAAAUUUUAUUUUAAAAACUAAAAAGAGAUAAAGCAACUAUUAAUUAUUAUAUUUAUCAUUAAAUUUUAUAUGAUAUAAUUAUUAUAUUUUAUUAUAAUUUUAAAAAGUUUAAGACACACCCAUAUUGUGUCAGAAAUAUCUGUGUGGUGUUUUGGUGAUAGUUAAAGAGAAACAGAUAAAUGUGUGAUUAUUUAGCCAGGAAUCACAACUAUCUAGGUUACAUAAAAGGAGAUUGGAAAUUUGGACAAUUCUACCCGUUUCUUAGGGUUGUCCUUUUGAUAUGAGGAAUGAGUUUACAAAUCUAAAACCUAAAGACAUAGAUGAUCUAGAUGCAUUUACCCAAAACCUUAAAUGUGCUUAAUUAGAGACUAAAACUAGUUUAACGUUAAUCUUGUUUAAUUAUGAAUUAAACCAUGAUUAAGGUUAAGUGUGAUUGAUUAACAACUUAAAACAUGUGUAUUAGCUUCUUAGGGGUCAAUUAUUAGAAUUAUGAAAACCUAAGGGACUGAUGGCAGUUGUAGGCAUAAAAAUUUACAACUAGAGGUACUAAACUACAUAUAUGGGAAAUUGGUGGUUAGUGGCAGCCUUAUGGCCUGCCACCUCAUGCAUGCUAGCUUAGGGACCCCUUUAUAAGGGCUGCC
This 5983-nucleotide long non-coding RNA is filed under the name Vitis vinifera (wine grape). RNAcentral's name for it is "long non-coding RNA (VVIN_LNC005108)". Lineage: Eukaryota; Viridiplantae; Streptophyta; Magnoliopsida; Vitales; Vitaceae. The record is from RNAcentral.